RNAcentral lists this ribosomal RNA (460 nucleotides) under uncultured bacterium. RNAcentral describes it as "partial 16S ribosomal RNA". It matches the Rfam family "Bacterial small subunit ribosomal RNA", at positions 338 to 795 of the family's 1533-position model. The record is from RNAcentral.
CCUACGGGAGACAGCAGUGAGGAAUAUUGGUCAAUGGACGAGAGUCUGAACCAGCCAAGUAGCGUGAAGGAUGACUGCCCUAUGGGUUGUAAACCUCUUUUAUAUGGGAAUAAAAUGUUCCACGUGUGGGAUUUUGUAUGUACCAUAUGAAUAAGGAUCGGCUAACUCCGUGCCAGCAGCCGCGGUAAUACGGAGGAUCCGAGCGUUGUCCGGAUUUAUUGGGUUUAAAGGGAGCGUAGGUGGAUUGUUAAGUCAGUUGUGAAAGUUUGCGGCUCAACCGUAAAAUUGCAGUUGAAACUGGCAGUCUUGAGUACAGUAGAGGUGGGCGGAAUUCGUGGUGUAGCGGUGAAAUGCUUAGAUAUCACGAAGAACUCCGAUUGCGAAGGCAGUUCACUGGACUGCAACUGACACUGAGGCUCGAAAGUGUGGGUAUCAAACAGGAUUAGAUACCCGAGUAGUC